GCCUGGGUGGCUCAGUUGGUUGAGCGUCUGACUUCAGCUCAGGUCAUGAUCUCACGGGUUCGUGAGUUCAGGCCCCACAUCAGGCU
RNAcentral lists this transfer RNA (86 nucleotides) under Felis catus (domestic cat). It matches the Rfam family "tRNA". From Rfam's summary of the family: Transfer RNA (tRNA) molecules are approximately 80 nucleotides in length. The record is from Rfam by way of RNAcentral. Lineage: Eukaryota; Metazoa; Chordata; Mammalia; Carnivora; Felidae. RNAcentral also lists the same sequence under 4 other names.